Molecule: ribosomal RNA, 500 nt
Filed under: uncultured eukaryote
Lineage: Eukaryota
Description: SSU rRNA
Rfam family: Eukaryotic small subunit ribosomal RNA
Source: RNAcentral
GUUAAAAAGCUCGUAGUUGGAUUUGUGGUGUACUUCGGCGGCCCGUCACUAUGUGAUGGAGCUUGCUGAAGUCGCCAUCCUUGGGUGGAUCCUGUGUGGCAUUAAGUUGUCGUGCAGGGGAUGCCCAUCGUUUACUGUGAAAAAAUUAGAGUGUUCAAAGCAGGCUUAUGCCGUUGAAUAUAUUAGCAUGGAAUAAUAAGAUAGGACCUUGGUACUAUUUUGUUGGUUUGCGCACCAAGGUAAUGAUUAAUAGGGACAGUUGGGGGUAUUCGUAUUUCAUUGUCAGAGGUGAAAUUCUUGGAUUUUUGAAAGACGAACUACUGCGAAAGCAUUUACCAAGGAUGUUUUCAUUAAUCAAGAACGAAAGUUAGGGGAUCGAAGAUGAUUAGAUACCAUCGUAGUCUUAACCAUAAACUAUGCCGACGAGGGAUUGGUGGAGUUUCGUUAUGUCUCCCUCAGCACCUUAUGAGAAAUCACAAGUCUUUGGGUUCCGGGGGGAG